UAUGAGAGCUGAAAUCUUAAGCUGAAGUGGCACAGAUGGUAGCGCAAUUGAUUCGUAAUCAAUAGGUCAGGGGUUCGAUUCCCCUCUUCAGCUCCA
Molecule: transfer RNA, 96 nt
Filed under: Eubacterium limosum
Lineage: Bacteria; Bacillati; Bacillota; Clostridia; Eubacteriales; Eubacteriaceae
Description: tRNA-Thr
Rfam family: tRNA (bases 21-93)
About the family: Transfer RNA (tRNA) molecules are approximately 80 nucleotides in length. Their secondary structure includes four short double-helical elements and three loops (D, anti-codon, and T loops).
Source: RNAcentral